CCGCAACUGACGCUAAAGCUCGAAGGUGCGGGUAUCGAACAGGAUUAGAUACCCUGGUAGUCCGCACGGUAAACGAUGGAUGCCCGCUGUAUGCGAUACACUGUAUGCGGCCAAGCGAAAGCGUUAAGCAUCCCACCUGGGGAGUACGCCGGCAACGGUGAAACUCAAAGGAAUUGACGGGGGCCCGCACAAGCGGAGGAACAUGUGGUUUAAUUCGAUGAUACGCGAGGAACCUUACCCGGGCUUGAACUGCAGGUGAACGAUCCAGAGAUGGUGAGGUCCUUCGGGACACCUGUGGAGGUGCUGCAUGGUUGUCGUCAGCUCGUGCCGUGAGGUGUCGGCUUAAGUGCCAUAACGAGCGCAACCCCUCUUUUCAGUUGCCAUCGGGUAAUGCCGGGCACUCUGGAGACACUGCCACCGUAAGGUGUGAGGAAGGUGGGGAUGACGUCAAAUCAGCACGGCCCUUACGUCCGGGGCUACACACGUGUUACAAUGGGUGGUACAGAGAGCCGGGUUUGCGCAAGCACGCUCCAAUCUUGAAAGCCAUCCUCAGUUCGGAUUGGGGUCUGCAACCCGACCCCAUGAAGCUGGAUUCGCUAG
Molecule: ribosomal RNA, 600 nt
Filed under: uncultured bacterium
Lineage: Bacteria
Description: bacterial SSU rRNA
Rfam family: Bacterial small subunit ribosomal RNA
Source: RNAcentral